AUCUCAGGGGAAACAGGGUUGCCUUUCUUUCCCAGCCUAGAGACUUCUCUCUUGAGUACAAACCCACCACAGGAACAAGUAAUCCAGACUUUGGGGAUGGCACCAGAAGAUCUCAGAAAUGACUGUCUCCCAAGUUAACAAGUGAUUGACAACUCCAGACAGAGAACAGGGGAUGGACUUUGAGCCACCUCUCUAGAAGCCCCCUGUCCCUGCUGAUGGGCAGAACCACCUCUUUGGGACAGGAGUCCCCUGUGUUUUUCUUUUGCUAGCAAAGCAAUAAACCUUUUUCUCAAAACUGAGUCCUCUUUAUUGGAUUGGCAUCAGAGACAAAGGCUGAGCUUUCAGCAACAUUUUGGCACCCCAGAUGGGACCCAAGAGCAGCCCCCACUCCAGCUUUCUUGGGCAGCCCUGGCUCUCUGAGGAACCCCACUUCCAUGCUGAGGAUUCGUGGUCCUGGUGAACUUCUUGGGAGGCAGGAGAGGAAGGAGGCGAGUCGGCUUUGGGUAGAACCUAGGAGCUGUUCUCGAAAGUCAAGGGAGGGACUGGGGGACCGUCCCAGCAGCUGCCGAAGCUCCUUUGGCUUCAGGGAACUCCAGCCCUCUCUCCCUGAACGGUACGGCGUGCUCCAUCCUGGUCCACUUUGAGAAAAAGGAAACUGAACUUUAGAAACUCAUGACAACUUUGGCCACUUGCUGGAUAAAGUAACCUGUGGGGAGCCACCCGUGAGCUACUUGAGGGGUGUCUGCACUCGGAACCCAGCCAUGAGACUUAGGGUUUUUCCUCGGGAACUCUCCUGGCUCUCCCGUGCACAUCAGACUGACCAAAGCAUGAGAUCUCUGUCUUCACUCCUUGGCUUUGGAGUUGGGCUUAACCCACUGGGAACUGGACAGCCCACCUGCUAACUUAUUUGGCACAGAACAUUCCAUGGAAAACCUUUGAGGUUCCCCAUAUAAAUAAAGCAAGCGCAGGCUCCAUCCUCUCUUUCUAGUGUGGAAGCUCCAUCCUUAAGAUCCGCGAACCCUCCCGCCCCCGCUUUUUUUUUAAGUUAAAAAGAUUUUAUUGAUUUGGGUUUUUUUUUUUUUUUUUGUGUGUGUGUGUGUGUGUGUGUUGCUGGGGAUUGAACACAGGGCCUUGUGCAUGUAAGGCAAGUACUCUACAACUGAGCUUUAUCCCCAGCCCUGGAUUUUUUUUAAUACCUUUAUUUUAUUUAUUUAUUUUUAUGUGGUGCUGAGGCUUGAACCCAGCGCCUUCUAUGUGCUAGACGAAUGCUCUACCGCUGAGCCACAACCCCAGCCGCCCCCCACCUCCCCCGGAUUUGUUUUUUAAUGACACAAUUUAGUACCCAAUAGCAUUUUAGAAAUCUACUUAAGGUAGUUUUAUAGUGCCUCAAAAAAAAAAAAAAAAAAAACCAGAACAGAGGCUAGGGAUAUCCUCCUGAUAAAGUUAGAGGUUAGCCUAUUGGAGGCCUGGGUUUUAUUCCCAGUGCUGCAAAAAGAAAAGAAAGGGAAAGCAUAAAAUACUUAAUAUUUCCUAUAGCCACCCCCGCUUUUUAAAAAUUGUUUUCUGUGUCCUGUGGUUUUUCUGCCACCUUCUUCUUCUUUUUUAGCCUUUAUUUCGCAACCAGCCCACUCUGUGAAGAGGAACCCCAAUUCCGUCGCCUGCACCGGAUGCGGGCAAGAGUGACCUGUGGUCAAUGUUAUAUAUACAAUUUUGUGCUGCUUUUCACACUGGAAUUGGAAUUUAAAUGCAUUUUUUGGAAGAUGAUAAGGAGAUCCUGAUCUGCUUAAAGGUGACAUUGUAAAACAUGGAGGCAUUCUGCCACUUUUUCCACAAAAAGAAAGUUAAAAGCUCUCUUAGACUUUCCUUGAUUCUUGUUUCCCAUGAAAUGUUGUGUUGUGUUAUUUGUGAAGAGCCCCCCUUGCCUGGGAUAAGGCUCUGCCUCCCACCUUACUCCAUGUCGAAAUGGCUCCAAAAUAAGCCACACUUCAGCUCAUUUAAAGUUGUGUUCAAAAGAUUGACUUUUUUUUGUAAGGAUUACUGUGAUCUCCAACAGGGAUUAUAAUAUAUAACUAAGUGAAGGGUCAAGAUUAUAAAAGUCGUUUUUCUUGGUUCAUAGCUCUUACACAAACUGAAUAUAUUUUUGCUCUGUUUAUUUCAUUUUGUGUUUUCCUUGUAAACUUUAUAACUGUUGCCUGUUAGUGUUUUGCAGAGGUUCUGUUUCAAAAAAAAAAAACAAAAAAAAACACCAACCUGGUUUAAUUGGAGGUAAUAAACCUUCACCUACAGGAUAGUAUGUAAUGCUGACUUCCUGUACUAAUACUCAUCCCAAUGAAAUGAAAGGUGUGUCUGUGAAAUUAUAGAUAUUGAAGUUAUAACCUGUUACUCCCUCUUUACGAUUGGCAGAACUGGUUUUAAGUUGGGUGUUUAAAACCAAAAACUUGGAGACCGAAGUCAAGGAAGUAAAAGGACCAAGGGAAAGCAGCCCUGGACAUUUGGCCCCGGCCCUCUAAGGUCAGCCAGGGCCUAGACAACCAUGGGACCCCCUCUGGGCCCUGAAGCUCUGCAUGAUCCCUGCCCUCUGCACGCCUCGUCCCUUCACGGCCAUCUGCCACUGUGGACCUCUGACUGCUCUGAGGCUGAGUGUCCUUACCUGUCCACACCCCACCUGAUGGAGAACAAGGACUUUGGGUCACUCCCCAACUUCGCCUCCCUUCAGCAGACAGUGGUUUGGAAAUGUUGUCGCCCAUUUCUCCACACAAAUGGAAUGUAGAAAUUGACAGUGAGGAAAUGUAACCAUGGUGUCCUUUAGGCCUUGAAUACAGCCCUUGCCACUGCCAUGUAUCCUUAAAAGGGACAUGCUUCUUUCCCUUCCUGUCUGCUCCUCCCUAAUCUCAAGGGAAACAGGAUCACCCUCCUUCUCCCUCCUAGGUAGACUUAUCUGUCCUUGAGUGCACACCCUCCAUAGGAAUAAAGUAACCCAGACUGUGGGAUGGCACCAGAAGACCUCAGAAAUGACUGUCUCCCAAGUUGACAAGUGCAACGGAGCCUUUGAGCCACCUCUUUAAAAGCCCCCUGUUCCUGCUGAUGGGAGGAACCGCAGCCUUUGGGACAGGAGUCCCCCGUGUUUCUCCUUUGCUUGCAAAGCAAUAAAUCUUCUUUUUUUCUCAAAA
Molecule: long non-coding RNA, 3170 nt
Organism: Marmota monax (woodchuck)
Lineage: Eukaryota; Metazoa; Chordata; Mammalia; Rodentia; Sciuridae
Exons: 2
Source: RefSeq, a predicted model, not a curated record